Molecule: unclassified non-coding RNA, 666 nt
Filed under: Polistes canadensis
Lineage: Eukaryota; Metazoa; Arthropoda; Insecta; Hymenoptera; Vespidae
Description: nADH dehydrogenase [ubiquinone] 1 beta subcomplex subunit 7, transcript variant X3
Source: RNAcentral
CAAUACUGAACAACAGUGUGUUGGUAGUGCAUUAUAUGGCCGUUUUUUUUUUCUUUGGUGCCUUUUAAAUCCUACUUUUAAUAUUAGAUAAAAAUGGGUCUUUUAUGGAGUGCAUAUGUUACACAUCCCGAUACAAUGCCAGAAGCAGAAACUGCACCGAAAUUUAAUUCGUUGUACGGAUUUGAAAAUGGUCGAAAAGAAAGAGUUAUGGUAGCCACAGAGACAGAAAUGAGGGCAGCGAAAUUACCAAAAAGAUAUAGAGAUUAUUGUGCGCAUAAACUUCUUGAAUUGGAAGACUGUAAAAAAUAUAAUUUUCCUAUGAUAAGAAGAUGCGGUCAUCAAAUGCAUGAAUGGGAGAAAUGCCAAUACGAAGAUUAUGUCAUGCGAAUGAAGGAGUUUGAAAGAGAACGCAGGCUUUUAGAAAGACAGAAGAGAAAGCAACAAGCAGCCGCUGCUUGAACAAACUGCCUCGUAGAUCUAUAGGAAUUUUAAACAUUAAUUGCUCGCAAUUUAGAAUUUGCAAUUUUAUCAUUACAGCAGUCGUGGACGACGUUUAGUAGCAGUUAUAAAAUAAAAAGGAUACGCGCGAGCGAAAAUUGGAAAGAUGUGAUAUUGUAAUUGGCAUUAAAAAUAAUAAGGAAAUACAUAUUUACUAAACAUUUUGCU